This 468-nucleotide ribosomal RNA is filed under the name uncultured bacterium. RNAcentral's name for it is "partial 16S ribosomal RNA". It matches the Rfam family "Bacterial small subunit ribosomal RNA", at positions 28 to 507 of the family's 1533-position model. The record is from RNAcentral.
GACGAACGCUGGCGGCGUGCUUAACACAUGCAAGUCGAACGGAAAGGCCCUGCUUUUGUGGGGUGCUCGAGUGGCGAACGGGUGAGUAACACGUGAGUAACCUGCCCUUGACUUUGGGAUAACUUCAGGAAACUGGGGCUAAUACCGGAUAGGAGCUCCUGCUGCAUGGUGGGGGUUGGAAAGUUUCGGCGGUUGGGGAUGGACUCGCGGCUUAUCAGCUUGUUGGUGGGGUAGUGGCUUACCAAGGCUUUGACGGGUAGCCGGCCUGAGAGGGUGACCGGCCACAUUGGGACUGAGAUACGGCUCAGACUCCUACGGGAGGCAGCAGUGGGGAAUAUUGCACAAUGGGCGGAAGCCUGAUGCAGCAACGCCGCGUGCGGGAUGGCGGCCUUCGGGUUGUAAACCGCUUUCGCCUGUGACGAAGCGUGAGUGACGGUAAUGGGUAAAGAAGCACCGGCUAACUACGUG